UACGAAGGGUGCAAGCGUUACUCGGAAUUACUGGGCGUAAAGCGUGCGUAGGUGGUGAGUUAAGUCUGAUGUGAAAUCCCCGGGCUCAACCUGGGAAUGGCAUUGGAUACUGGCUCGCUAGAGUGCGGUAGAGGGUGGUGAAUUCCCGGUGUAGCAGUGAAAUGCGUAGAGAUCGGGAGGAACAUCUGUGGCGAAGGCGGCCACCUGGACCAACACUGACACUGAGGCACGAAAGCGUGGGGAGCAAACAGG
This 252-nucleotide ribosomal RNA is filed under the name uncultured bacterium. Its description in RNAcentral is "partial 16S ribosomal RNA". It matches the Rfam family "Bacterial small subunit ribosomal RNA", at positions 524 to 776 of the family's 1533-position model. The record is from RNAcentral.